UACAGAGGUCCCAAGCGUUGUUCGGAUUUACUGGGCGUAAAGGGUGCGUAGGUGGCGGGGUAAGUCGGAUGUGAAAUCUCCAGGCUCAACCUGGAAACGGCAUUGGAAACUACCUUGCUAGAGGAUCGGAGGGGGGACUGGAAUACUUGGUGUAGCAGUGAAAUGCGUAGAUAUCAAGUGGAACACCAGUGGCGAAGGCGAGUCCCUGGACGAUUCCUGACGCUGAGGCACGAAAGCUAGGGGAGCAAACAGG
Molecule: ribosomal RNA, 253 nt
Filed under: uncultured bacterium
Lineage: Bacteria
Description: partial 16S ribosomal RNA
Rfam family: Bacterial small subunit ribosomal RNA
Source: RNAcentral